RNAcentral lists this ribosomal RNA (459 nucleotides) under uncultured bacterium. RNAcentral describes it as "partial 16S ribosomal RNA". It matches the Rfam family "Bacterial small subunit ribosomal RNA", at positions 338 to 795 of the family's 1533-position model. The record is from RNAcentral.
CCUACGGGGUGCAGCAGUGAGGAAUAUUGGUCAAUGGCCGGAAGGCUGAACCAGCCACGCCGCGUGAAGGUCAGUGCCCUAUGGGCGUUAAACUUCUUUUGUGCGGGAGCAAUAAUGGUCACGUGUGGCCAGACGAGAGUACCGUACGAAUAAGCAUCGGCUAACUCCGUGCCAGCAGCCGCGGUAUUACGGGGGAUGCAAGCGUUUCCGGAAUUAUUGGGUUUAAAGGGUGCGUAGGCUGUGAGGUAAGUCAGCGGUGAAAUGCCCCCGCUCAACGGGGUGAAGUGCCAUUGAUAAUGCCUGGCUGGAAUGCGGAUGCCGUGGGAGGAAUGUGUGGUGUAGCGGUGAAAUGCAUAGAUAUCACACAGAACACCGAUUGCGAAGGCAUCUCACGAAUCCGCGAUUGACGCUGAUGCACGAAAGCGUGGGUAUCAAACAGGAUUAGAUACCCUUGUAGUC